AUUGCAGGCUGCAACCCGCCUGCAUGAAGUCGGAAUUGCUAGUAAUCGCAGAUCAGAAUGCUGCGGUGAAUACGUUCCCGGGUCUUGUACACACCGCCCGUCACACCAUGGGAGUUGGAAAUGCCCGAAGCCAGUGACCCAACCGUAAGGAGGGAGCUGUCGAAGGUGGAGCCGAUGACUGGGGUGAAGUCGUAACAAGGUAGC
This 204-nucleotide ribosomal RNA is filed under the name uncultured bacterium. RNAcentral describes it as "partial 16S ribosomal RNA". It matches the Rfam family "Bacterial small subunit ribosomal RNA", at positions 1297 to 1500 of the family's 1533-position model. The record is from RNAcentral.